Molecule: long non-coding RNA, 1156 nt
Organism: Canis lupus familiaris (dog)
Lineage: Eukaryota; Metazoa; Chordata; Mammalia; Carnivora; Canidae
Exons: 2
Source: RefSeq, a predicted model, not a curated record
GGGACGCGGGCGGCGGGCGGCGGCUCGGGGGCUCGCGGGCUCGCGGGGCUCCCCGGCGGGGCUCUCCUCCGCCCUCUCUGCCCGAAGCCUAUAAAAUGUUGGAAGGAAAGGGGGCAGUCAGGAAAGAUCUCCCGCGUGGAGAUCCCUCCCUCGCCCUCUUCCUCCUCUCCGUCUGUCCCUCGCGCUCCCCUCUGCUCUCUCCUUCCUCUAUCUCUGCCUCUAUCUCUCUCCUCCCCCUCUCCCUCUCCCUCUCCCUCUCCGCCCGGGAUCAAGCCAAAGCCUCGGAGAUUCCAUGACACCAGAACCCCGCGUCUGUCAGCCUGUCAACAUUCCCGCAGCAAGCGCACCAGCGCCGAAGCCCUGAUUGAUCCCAUAUGUCUGGCAGGAGCUGCAGAGGAAUUCGCUGGAGAUGGAUCCAGAUACCGAGAGUGCCACAGUAAUUGGAAACACUUUGUAGAGGAAAACACACACAGGCUGGCCAGCCAGGGGAAAGCAUCCUUUGAAAGCCGCUUGCUCACCUUUUUGGGUCUCCUUUUCGGUGCCCCACAACCCUCUCCACAUGCAUGUUUAUUUGCCUUUCCAGGUGGGGAUUUCUGAUGCGUGCUGUGUGGUGAGUGUGUAGACUCUGGAGGGCCCCCUCAGGCCACACCAUGCGGGGAUUGCAGCUACCCCUCCCGCAGCAGCGCACGGGGAUUUGUCCUGCUGCUUCACCCCUGCGUUCAAUUCUUUUGUUCGUUUGCUCCUUCAUUCAUUCAACAAAUAGCUUUGAGCACCUAUUAUGUGCCAGGACACCAGGAGUAUAAUGAGGAGCAGAAAUCCGCAUGGAUCUUGUCCCCAGGGAACUUACAGGGUAACAAGUGAGAUGGUCUAUUAGCCGGAUACUCCACCGAGGUAUUUAUUGGCCAUCGAUCAUAUGCCAGAAUGUUCGAUACUAGGUUUUAAAGUUGAAUAAGACUCAGAUCCAGUCCUCCAGAAGUUCAAAGGAUAUCAGAAGACAAUAUAAUUGGCAAACACUGACAAAGCAGUAAGACGACUGCAGGAAUGGAGAAUGGGGAACAGGAAGGAGAAAGGUCAAAAUCCUCCUGGGGAAUGAAUGAGCAAGACCUCAUUUGAGCUGAGACUUUAAAAAAAAAAAAAAAAGUUUUUCCAAAUUGUA